This 389-nucleotide long non-coding RNA is filed under the name Mus musculus (house mouse). RNAcentral's name for it is "long non-coding RNA chr11:117727740-117728129". The record is from RNAcentral. Lineage: Eukaryota; Metazoa; Chordata; Mammalia; Rodentia; Muridae.
CAACCUGAUUUAUAUAGUGAGGUCUAGGAAAGCCAGAGGAAGCAGAAUUUGAAUAUUAAAACUCAGCGUAUAGAGUGUAUGGUAUAAUGCACAUCAUUGCAAUCUCAGCCCUCAGGAGGCAAAGGCAGAAAGACCAGAGUUUGAAGCUACCCUAGACUAUGCAGUAAGUUCUAGGCCAGCCAGAACUAGAUGUGAGAAACUGGUUGAAAACAAUAGUGGGGGCUGGAGAGAGGGCUCAGUGGUUAAGAGCACCAACUGCUCUUCCAAAGGUCCUGAGUUCAAAUCCCAGCAACCACAUGGUGAAUCACAACCAUCUAUAAAGAGAUCUGAUGCCCUCUUCUGGUGCAUCUGAAGACAGCUACAGUGUACUUAGAUAUAAUAAUAGUUCU